RNAcentral lists this long non-coding RNA (242 nucleotides) under Solanum tuberosum (potato). RNAcentral describes it as "long non-coding RNA (STUB_LNC006011)". The record is from RNAcentral. Lineage: Eukaryota; Viridiplantae; Streptophyta; Magnoliopsida; Solanales; Solanaceae.
GGGAUUUUGUCUGAGGGCUGGAGAGAUAUAGUAAUUUGGGCCAAGUAUCCCUCUUGCAUAAUCUAGUGCUUCAGUAAAAUCAUUAAAACCUUUAAAAAGAGGAGUUUUAACUCCGUUUAUAGACUCUACUACUUCUAUCCAUGUUUGAAAAAUACCAUUAGUCUUACCAUGUAUUACCACAUAAUAUUUAAAUUUAUUCUCUCUACUUUUAUCUGUAAAGUAUUGACAUAAAGCAUUUAACG